AGCGUACACGGUGGAUGCCCUGGCAGUCAGAGGCGAUGAAGGACGUGCUAAUCUGCGAUAAGCGUCGGUAAGGUGAUAUGAACCGUUAUAACCGGCGAUUUCCGAAUGGGGAAACCCAGUGUGUUUCGACACACUAUCAUUAACUGAAUCCAUAGGUUAAUGAGGCGAACCGGGGGAACUGAAACAUCUAAGUACCCCGAGGAAAAGAAAUCAACCGAGAUUCCCCCAGUAGCGGCGAGCGAACGGGGAGCAGCCCAGAGCCUGAAUCAGUGUGUGUGUUAGUGGAAGCGUCUGGAAAGGCGCGCGAUACAGGGUGACAGCCCCGUACACAAAAAUGCACAUACUGUGAGCUCGAUGAGUAGGGCGGGACACGUGGUAUCCUGUCUGAAUAUGGGGGGACCAUCCUCCAAGGCUAAAUACUCCUGACUGACCGAUAGUGAACCAGUACCGUGAGGGAAAGGCGAAAAGAACCCCGGCGAGGGGAGUGAAAAAGAACCUGAAACCGUGUACGUACAAGCAGUGGGAGCCUCUUAAUGGGGUGACUGCGUACCUUUUGUAUAAUGGGUCAGCGACUUAUAUUCUGUAGCAAGGUUAACCGAAUAGGGGAGCCGAAGGGAAACCGAGUCUUAACUGGGCGUUAAGUUGCAGGGUAUAGACCCGAAACCCGGUGAUCUAGCCAUGGGCAGGUUGAAGGUUGGGUAACACUAACUGGAGGACCGAACCGACUAAUGUUGAAAAAUUAGCGGAUGACUUGUGGCUGGGGGUGAAAGGCCAAUCAAACCGGGAGAUAGCUGGUUCUCCCCGAAAGCUAUUUAGGUAGCGCCUCGUGAAUUCAUCUCCGGGGGUAGAGCACUGUUUCGGCAAGGGGGUCAUCCCGACUUACCAACCCGAUGCAAACUGCGAAUACCGGAGAAUGUUAUCACGGGAGACACACGGCGGGUGCUAACGUCCGUCGUGAAGAGGGAAACAACCCAGACCGCCAGCUAAGGUCCCAAAGUCAUGGUUAAGUGGGAAACGAUGUGGGAAGGCCCAGACAGCCAGGAUGUUGGCUUAGAAGCAGCCAUCAUUUAAAGAAAGCGUAAUAGCUCACUGGUCGAGUCGGCCUGCGCGGAAGAUGUAACGGGGCUAAACCAUGCACCGAAGCUGCGGCAGCGACGUUUAUGCGUUGUUGGGUAGGGGAGCGUUCUGUAAGCCUGUGAAGGUGUACUGUGAGGUAUGCUGGAGGUAUCAGAAGUGCGAAUGCUGACAUAAGUAACGAUAAAGCGGGUGAAAAGCCCGCUCGCCGGAAGACCAAGGGUUCCUGUCCAACGUUAAUCGGGGCAGGGUGAGUCGACCCCUAAGGCGAGGCCGAAAGGCGUAGUCGAUGGGAAACAGGUUAAUAUUCCUGUACUUGGUGUUACUGCGAAGGGGGGACGGAGAAGGCUAUGUUGGCCGGGCGACGGUUGUCCCGGUUUAAGCGUGUAGGCUGAUUUUCCAGGCAAAUCCGGAAAAUCAAGGCUGAGGCGUGAUGACGAGGCACUACGGUGCUGAAGCAACAAAUGCCCUGCUUCCAGGAAAAGCCUCUAAGCAUCAGGUAACAUCAAAUCGUACCCCAAACCGACACAGGUGGUCAGGUAGAGAAUACCAAGGCGCUUGAGAGAACUCGGGUGAAGGAACUAGGCAAAAUGGUGCCGUAACUUCGGGAGAAGGCACGCUGAUAUGUAGGUGAAGUCCCUCGCGGAUGGAGCUGAAAUCAGUCGAAGAUACCAGCUGGCUGCAACUGUUUAUUAAAAACACAGCACUGUGCAAACACGAAAGUGGACGUAUACGGUGUGACGCCUGCCCGGUGCCGGAAGGUUAAUUGAUGGGGUUAGCGGUAACGCGAAGCUCUUGAUCGAAGCCCCGGUAAACGGCGGCCGUAACUAUAACGGUCCUAAGGUAGCGAAAUUCCUUGUCGGGUAAGUUCCGACCUGCACGAAUGGCGUAAUGAUGGCCAGGCUGUCUCCACCCGAGACUCAGUGAAAUUGAACUCGCUGUGAAGAUGCAGUGUACCCGCGGCAAGACGGAAAGACCCCGUGAACCUUUACUAUAGCUUGACACUGAACAUUGAGCCUUGAUGUGUAGGAUAGGUGGGAGGCUUUGAAGUGUGGACGCCAGUCUGCAUGGAGCCGGCCUUGAAAUACCACCCUUUAAUGUUUGAUGUUCUAACGUUGGCCCCUGAUCGGGGUUGCGGACAGUGUCUGGUGGGUAGUUUGACUGGGGCGGUCUCCUCCUAAAGAGUAACGGAGGAGCACGAAGGUUGGCUAAUCCUGGUCGGACAUCAGGAGGUUAGUGCAAUGGCAUAAGCCAGCUUGACUGCGAGCGUGACGGCGCGAGCAGGUGCGAAAGCAGGUCAUAGUGAUCCGGUGGUUCUGAAUGGAAGGGCCAUCGCUCAACGGAUAAAAGGUACUCCGGGGAUAACAGGCUGAUACCGCCCAAGAGUUCAUAUCGACGGCGGUGUUUGGCACCUCGAUGUCGGCUCAUCACAUCCUGGGGCUGAAGUAGGUCCCAAGGGUAUGGCUGUUCGCCAUUUAAAGUGGUACGCGAGCUGGGUUUAGAACGUCGUGAGACAGUUCGGUCCCUAUCUGCCGUGGGCGCUGGAGAACUGAGGGGGGCUGCUCCUAGUACGAGAGGACCGGAGUGGACGCAUCACUGGUGUUCGGGUUGUCAUGCCAAUGGCACUGCCCGGUAGCUAAAUGCGGAAGAGAUAAGUGCUGAAAGCAUCUAAGCACGAAACUUGCCCCGAGAUGAGUUCU
This 2774-nucleotide ribosomal RNA is filed under the name Escherichia coli. Its description in RNAcentral is "bacterial LSU rRNA". It matches the Rfam family "Bacterial large subunit ribosomal RNA". Lineage: Bacteria; Pseudomonadati; Pseudomonadota; Gammaproteobacteria; Enterobacterales; Enterobacteriaceae. The record is from RNAcentral.